RNAcentral lists this ribosomal RNA (254 nucleotides) under uncultured bacterium. RNAcentral's name for it is "partial 16S ribosomal RNA". It matches the Rfam family "Bacterial small subunit ribosomal RNA", at positions 524 to 776 of the family's 1533-position model. The record is from RNAcentral.
UACGGAGGAUGCAAGCGUUAUCCGGAAUGAUUGGGCGUAAAGCGUCCGCAGGUGGCUAUGUAAGUCUGCUGUUAAAGAGUGAGGCUCAACCUCAUAAGAGCAGUGGAAACUACAUAGCUAGAGUGCGUUCGGGGCAGAGGGAAUUCCUGGUGUAGCGGUGAAAUGCGUAGAUAUCAGGAAGAACACCGGUGUCGGAAAGCGCUCUGCUAGGCCGCAACUGACACUGAGGGACGAAAGCUAGGGGAGCGAAUGGG